CAGGAUUAGAUACCCUGGUAGUCCCCGCUGUAAACGAUGUCGAUUUGAAGGUUGUUCCCUUGAGGAGUGGCUUUCGGAGCUAACGCGUUAAAUCGACCGCCUGGGGAGUACGGCCGCAAGGUUAAAACUCAAAUGAAUUGACGGGGGCCCGCACAAGCGGUGGAGCAUGUGGUUUAAUUCGAUGCAACGCGAAGAACCUUACCUACUCUUGACAUCCAGAGAACUUAGCAGAGAUGCUUUGGUGCCUUCGGGAACUCUGAGACAGGUGCUGCAUGGCUGUCGUCAGCUCGUGUUGUGAAAUGUUGGGUUAAGUCCCGCAACGAGCGCAACCCUUAUCCUUUGUUGCCAGCGAUUCGGUCGGGAACUCAAAGGAGACUGCCGGUGAUAAACCGGAGGAAGGUGGGGAUGACGUCAAGUCAUCAUGGCCCUUACGAGUAGGGCUACACACGUGCUACAAUGGCGUAUACAAAGAGAAGCGACCUCGCGAGAGCAAGCGGAACUCAUAAAGUACGUCGUAGUCCGGAUUGGAGUCUGCAACUCGACUCCAUGAAGUCGGAAUCGCUAGUAAUCGUAGAUCAGAAUGCUACGGUGAAUACGUUCCCGGGCCUUGUACACACCGCCCGUCACCACCUAUGGGAGUGGGUUGCAAAAGAAGUAGGUAGCUUAACCUUCGGGAGGGCGCU
This 683-nucleotide ribosomal RNA is filed under the name Providencia rettgeri. RNAcentral describes it as "bacterial SSU rRNA". It matches the Rfam family "Bacterial small subunit ribosomal RNA", at positions 773 to 1454 of the family's 1533-position model. The record is from RNAcentral. Lineage: Bacteria; Pseudomonadati; Pseudomonadota; Gammaproteobacteria; Enterobacterales; Morganellaceae.